GUGGGGAAAAAAAAAAAGAGGAGACACGAGUUUUUUUGGGGUGUGUGUGUGUAUGUGUGUGUGUGUGUAUCGGGUGUGACACCACCGCCGCGCUCCUCCUUCAAAUCGCUCCGAGGGAGGUGAGCGGGGAGGACUCCCCCACCCUCUCCCCUUCUCGGGGACCCGCACAGCCCCGGGCUGCGGGGAGGGGAGGGCGGGUGGAUGGGGAGCCCCCUCCCCGCAUGCCCCUGCCCCGGUUCUUGCAGGACCCGCCCCGACUGGGUCUCAUCCUUCCUAUCCCUGGGGGGAGCACGGGGGACCCCCCCGGGGAAGGGGGUGCCGGUCACGGCGGCAGCCCCCGGUGCGGGGUUCGCGGCCGCGGCGCCCGCCUCCGCCCAUGACACGGCGCAGGGGGGGCUCUAGGGCGCGGGGGGAGGCCGGAGGCUGGAAAGGUGAGAGCGCGGAUUGCCGGAGUGCCGAAAGGAAGCUGCCAUUUGCGAGCUGUGAGUGACGAGCGUAUGAAAAAGGAUAGAUACUGUUCAGUGGACUUGGAAUUGUCUUUAGAGUUCAGUUAGAAGACGCACCCAGGACAUCCCACAUGGACCCCUUCACAACAACCACCGUGAUGUGAUGGGCAUACCAUUUCCAGGUACUAGGGUCUCCAAUCUGUCUAGCAUCUAGCCAGUAUCAAGGGGUUAGGAACUACUGUGAUGCAUGAGAUGAGUCAUCUGCUGCUGAGAUCUUGGAAGCAAGACUAAUCAUUAACACGCAUAUUGUUGGCAGUCUAAACUGUUCCCAUAUCACAACCCAGAGUUAUAGGAGAUGGGAACUCUCACCUUGCCUAGCAGAAACGUCACUGAUCUCUGCAUUCUCACCACGGCAUUGCUCACACAGUGGAAUAAAUUGUACUUGCUUGUCAGAACAAAGUUUUUAGUUAGGCCGGCAAGAAGUUUCAGUGUCUUAGAGAACUCAGAGAAAUACUUUUUCAGAGACUUUUAUUAUUAUUAUUAUUAUUUUAUUAUUUUUUUUUUAGACAUGGGGACUUCUCCUUUCGUGAACAGGUCUUCCUUCUAUUCCGUGAUUUUGGCCAACAAGGUUCACAAAGAGAAUGUGCUGCAAAGAGCUAUGAGUGGACAAGUACUAAAAUUCUGCGUAUUCCCACUGCAACGGCUGUUAACCCUAAUAGAAAUUAGGUAGAUGCCUGCCCAAUAUUAUUAUUAGAUUUUAUGUUUCACACAAAUGACAAAUCAUUGCUAUAAAAGUUGGAAAUAAUUUCCACUGGUAACAUUGAGAAUACACGAUAUAUUGCUCCUUUUCCAUUUACAUCUCUUUCCAUCUCUUUUCCUUUGAUCUCUUUUCUUUUUCACAGUUUUUGUAGACCCUGUUUUGUUCUUCUUUUCAGAAUUAAAACUUCAUGAGGUAGUCCAGAGGAUGUCAGAUUAAACUUGCAUUAGGAAUACUGUGAAGAGACAUUUUCAAUCCAAGCAAGUAAACAAUUUCUAUCUUUGAAAUAAUAGGAAUGCAUAUCUGCCAACAUUACAUUCUGUCGAACAUUUAAUAGAGUUUAAAAAAAAAUAAUAAAAGAAACAUUUAGUUUGGUCCUAAAAAAAGUAUAUAUAUCUUUAAGACAUUCCACGUUUUAUUUUAUUUUGUUCUAUUUUUUUUUCUAAUACAUUAUUUCCUAAUCAUUAAUGUAACAUUGUUUUUGGAAGUUACUAAUUACACUACUCUGAUAACCACAUGGGACCUUAAUUAACGAUUGUAGUCCAUUGCAAAAUGUACAUGUGUAUAAUGAAAAGGCAAUUAAAAUAUGUUGUUAGAUAACUUGGUUUUAUUACUUAAACUAAACCAAUUAGAUACAUUUUCUUAAAAAAAAAAAAGUCAGAAAGCAUGAUAUUUCUCUAUGUUGCAGUUGUUCUCUGCUAUCCAGCAGUGAAAACAAUAAUUAUUAUCAGUUCUUCAUGUUCUCAGAGUUGGCAGUGAUAUUAGUUUGCAUGAAGAAUAUAGCCAUGCAAAAGCACAGUAUCACUUUAGAGGAGAGGCUGCCAACGUCUCUGGUGAGACUUGCCAAAAAAACAGUCACAGUAGGGUGUCUCUACGAGCUCUCUAUCACUGUGCGUAUAGGUCUUGCUCUUAAGGAUAAUCACCUGCCACUGAAUGGAGCUAUUCACUAAGGCCAAGGGAGUGACUUAAAUACAGUCUCAAGCCUUUAAAAACUGCAAAGGUGCCAAUGCUCUCACUUUAUCAGGAGUCUCCGGAUACUUGGUUAACUUGGGCUCAGUGCCAUAUUAACACUACCACCCAGCCUUGGAACUGAAGUUGCUUUGUAGCUGGCCAGCUGGAAUUUGGGAUAGGUUGACACAUGAAUCUUUAUAUCUGCAUAUACAGCCUUGUUCUCAGUCUUCAAACGUAUCUGAAAAGAGAAGAGAAGAGAAGAGAAGAGAAGAGAAGAGAAGAGAAGAGAAGAGAAGAGAAGAGAAGAGAAGAGAAGAGAAAAGAAAAGA
This is a long non-coding RNA of Cygnus olor (mute swan), 2483 nucleotides long. RefSeq lists it as uncharacterized. Lineage: Eukaryota; Metazoa; Chordata; Aves; Anseriformes; Anatidae. The record is from RefSeq and is a predicted model, not a curated record. The transcript is spliced from 3 exons.